AGCUUUGCACAGUGGCAGUAUCGUAGCCAAUGAGGUUUAUCCGAGGCGUGAUUAAUGCUAAUUAAAGUACACAAAUUAAUGAAUCUCUUCAGUCAAGAAUUUUUACAUUUAAGACUCAUCCAGAGGCAGAUUCAUUUA
Hippopotamus amphibius kiboko is the source of this 138-nucleotide small nuclear RNA. RefSeq annotates it as U4 spliceosomal RNA. The record is from RefSeq and is a predicted model, not a curated record. NCBI's taxonomy places the organism in Eukaryota, Metazoa, Chordata, Mammalia, Artiodactyla, Hippopotamidae. The transcript has a single exon.